CGCUUUGAAUCGAGUAUAAAGCGAACUCGAAACGAAGUUAACAGUCGUUCCCGAAAGUAAACACCAAAGGUAACAUCAUGAAGACUGCCUGCCUAGUUGCUCUCCUGAUCACUUGCGUUAUCAUGGUCAGCAUACCAGUGACUGAAGCCCAAGGUUACCUUCCUCCAAACCGUGACUGCCAUUGCAGUAGUGGACGGUGUCCUUACGGAACGCGUUACUCCGGUCCGUGUCCAUACAACUCAUAUCAGAAGAAUUGCUGUAGAAAUUAUUGAGGACCACCAAAGCACACCAGACCACAUUGACAUUCAAAUGUUCUGGUUAGGUUGAAUCAAUAAAACAGCCUUAUAUUUUA
Long non-coding RNA from Dreissena polymorpha, 352 nucleotides. RefSeq lists it as uncharacterized. The record is from RefSeq and is a predicted model, not a curated record. NCBI's taxonomy places the organism in Eukaryota, Metazoa, Mollusca, Bivalvia, Myida, Dreissenidae. The transcript is spliced from 3 exons.